AUUGAACGCUGGCGGCAGGCCUAACACAUGCAAGUCGAACGGUAGCACAGAGAGCUUGCUCUCGGGUGACGAGUGGCGGACGGGUGAGUAAUGUCUGGGAAACUGCCUGAUGGAGGGGGAUAACUACUGGAAACGGUAGCUAAUACCGCAUAAUGUCGCAAGACCAAAGAGGGGGACCUUCGAGCCUCUUGCCAUCGGAUGUGCCCAGAUGGGAUUAGCUUGUUGGUGAGGUAAAAGCUCACCAAGGCGACGAUCCCUAGCUGGUCUGAGAGGAUGAGCAUCCACACUGGAACUGAGACACGGUCCAGACUCCUACGGGAGGCAGCAGUGGGGAAUAUUGCACAAUGGGCGCAAGCCUGAUGCAGCCAUGCCGCGUGUGUGAAGAAGGCCUUCGGGUUGUAAAGCACUUUCAGCGGGGAGGAAGGCGGUGAGUUUAAUAAGCUCACCGAUUGACGUUACCCGCAGAAGAAGCACCGGCUAACUCCGUGCCAGCCGCCGCCGUAA
RNAcentral lists this ribosomal RNA (504 nucleotides) under uncultured bacterium. Its description in RNAcentral is "partial 16S ribosomal RNA". It matches the Rfam family "Bacterial small subunit ribosomal RNA", at positions 30 to 523 of the family's 1533-position model. The record is from RNAcentral.